This 253-nucleotide ribosomal RNA is filed under the name uncultured bacterium. Its description in RNAcentral is "partial 16S ribosomal RNA". It matches the Rfam family "Bacterial small subunit ribosomal RNA", at positions 524 to 776 of the family's 1533-position model. The record is from RNAcentral.
UACGUAGGGGGCAAGCGUUGUCCGGAUUUAUUGGGCGUAAAGAGCGUGUAGGCGGUUUGGUAGGUCCGCUGUGAAAACUCGAGGCUCAACCUCGAGACGCCGGUGGAAACCAUCAGGCUAGAGUCCGGAAGAGGAGAGUGGAAUUCCUGGUGUAGCGGUGAAAUGCGCAGAUAUCAGGAGGAACACCAGCGGCGAAGGCGGUGCUCUGGGCCGGAACUGACGCUGAGGAGCGAAAGCGUGGGGAGCGAACAGG